AUCAGGCGCCCACCCGGAGAACGAGGGAAUUCAUUUCAAGUUUAAGUCAUCAGGUGCCCACUUGGAGAUCGAGGGAAUUUAUUUCAAGUUUUAAGUCAUCAGGCGCCCACCUGGAGAACGAGGGAAUUUAUUUCAGGUUUUAAGUCAUCAGGCGCCCACCUGAAGAAUGAGAAAAUUUAUUUCAAGUUCAAGGCAUUUGCAGGCAUCCACCUGGAGAAUGAGGGAACUCAUUUUAAGUUUCAAGUAAUUACCAGGCGCCCACCUGGAGAACGAGGAAUUCAUUUCAAGUUCAAGUCAGUCACAGGCGCCCACCUAGAGAACGAGGGAAGUCAUUUCAGAAUUCACUUAAAGUUCGAGUUAGAGGCACCAGGAGCCCGCCUGAAGAACAGGGUCAGCUUUCAAUUUUCAAGUUCGAGUUAGAGGCAGCAGGAGCCCGCCUGAAGAACAUGGUCAAUUUUCAGUUUACAAGUUCAAGUUAGAGAGGCAUCAAGAGCCCGCCUGAAGAACAUGGUCAACUUUUAAUUUUUAAGUUCAAGUUAGAGAGGCAUCAGGAGCCCGCCUGAAGAACAGGGUCAACUUUCAAUUUUCAAGUUCAAGUUAGAGAAGCAUCAAGAGCCUGCCUGAAGAACAUGGUCAAUUUUCAGUUUACAAGUUCAAGUUAGAGAGGCAUUUGGAUCCCGCUUGAAGAACAGGGUCAACUUUCAGUUUUCAAGUUCAAGUAGAGACAGCAGGAUCUCGCCUGAAAAAUAGGGGCAAUCUCCAGUUUUCAAUUCAAAUCAGAAGUAGCGCGAGCUGCCUGAAGAACAAGGUUUGCAAGCUCAAGUCUACUGCAAGUUCAAGUUUAUUUCAAGUGCAAGCAGCAGGGUGCCCGCCUGAAGAAUAGGGUCAACUUCCAGCUUUCUUCAAAUUCAAGUAAGCAGGAUGCCCACCUGAAGAAUGGGGUGAAUUUUCAGUUUCAUAUUGAAGGAUCAAGUGGAGAUUCAAGGAAGAUUCAAGAGAAGAAGUAGAUAGGAUCUUGUAUUUUUCUUUUAUUUUUGUUGUAAUUUUUGCUUUCAAUUCAUGAUGUAAUGACAGGGACCACGGACUGGAACCUCGACGGAACCUCACUCGACUCUCUCAUCAUUUUCACAUACUCUAUCACUUCAUUAACUUCUGAACUACACGUGGCCUGAAUCCCACCCUUCUCCGUAUCCCAACAACCCAAACGCACUCAUGUAGAUACACGAGAGAGAACAGAAGAUCAGAGGCAGAAAACGGACACCCCCUCACAAAACCCUAUCCGCCGAUUUCUUCUUAUCCAUUCCGUCUGAGCAGCUACCCCCUCCCUCACCUCAGUCUCAGCAAAGGGACCGAAAGCGCACACACACAUACACACAAAGACAGACAUGUUCAUAGUUUCAUUCUCUCCUCGGCUUUGCUAUCCGAAGUUCCAUUUCGACAUUCCCUUCUAAGCUUCCUUUUUGCGUCACUCAAUUGAAAUCUGAAGGUUCUAAAAAGUUUUUGAGUGUUUCAGAUACGGAUCUGUGUAUGCGUGCUCGCUUUGAAGUUAAUCUCGCUGCGUUUUCAUUGUUGAUGUGCUGUUUCUGUUUCUGUUGCUGGAUUUACCCCUAUAUUUCAGACCUCAUUUGGUCAUUUUCUGUCGAUUUCUUGUUUGAGGUACGCCAUACUCAUAUAUGAUCCUUUGUCGAAUUCAUAAUUGAAAUCUGGGUUUAUUCGUGUUACAUGUUUGUUUUGAAUUCACG
RNAcentral lists this long non-coding RNA (1742 nucleotides) under Nicotiana tabacum (common tobacco). RNAcentral's name for it is "long non-coding RNA (NTAB_LNC004208)". The record is from RNAcentral. Lineage: Eukaryota; Viridiplantae; Streptophyta; Magnoliopsida; Solanales; Solanaceae.